CCCGCUCAGAAACGUCAAAGGAAUUGACGGGGGCCCGCACAAGCGGUGGAGUAUGUGGUUAAUUCGAUGCAACGCGAAGAACCUUACCUGGUCUUGACAUCCCGGAGACCCUUAGGAAACUAGGGGGUGCUUCCAUCUGGAAGAAUCUGGAGACAGGUGCUGCAUGGCUGUCGUCAGCUCGUGUCGUGAGAUGUUGGGUUAAGUCCCGCAACGAGCGCAACCCUUGCCUUUAGUUGCCAGCAGUUCGGCUGGGCACUCUAAAGGGACUGCCGGUGUUAAACCGGAGGAAGGUGGGGAUGACGUCAAGUCCUCAUGGCCUUUAUGACCAGGGCUACACACGUACUACAAUGGCCGAUACAAAGGGCAGCGACACUGCGAGGUGAAGCCAAUCCCGUAAAAUCGGUCUCAGUCCGGAUUGGAGUCUGCAACUCGACUCCAUGAAGUUGGAAUCGCUAGUAAUCGUGGAUCAGCAUGCCACGGUGAAUACGUUCCCGGGCCUU
RNAcentral lists this ribosomal RNA (500 nucleotides) under uncultured Desulfobulbus sp. RNAcentral's name for it is "bacterial SSU rRNA". It matches the Rfam family "Bacterial small subunit ribosomal RNA", at positions 903 to 1382 of the family's 1533-position model. The record is from RNAcentral. Lineage: Bacteria; Pseudomonadati; Thermodesulfobacteriota; Desulfobulbia; Desulfobulbales; Desulfobulbaceae.